RNAcentral lists this ribosomal RNA (511 nucleotides) under uncultured bacterium. RNAcentral describes it as "bacterial SSU rRNA". It matches the Rfam family "Bacterial small subunit ribosomal RNA", at positions 347 to 848 of the family's 1533-position model. The record is from RNAcentral.
GGCAGCAGUGGGGAAUUUUGGACAAUGGGCGCAAGCCUGAUCCAGCCAUGCCGCGUGAGUGAAGAAGGCCUUCGGGUUGUAAAGCUCUUUCAGCCGGAAAGAAAACGCACGGGUUAAUACCCUGUGUGGAUGACGGUACCGGAAGAAGAAGCACCGGCUAACUACGUGCCAGCAGCCGCGGUAAUACGUAGGGUGCGAGCGUUAAUCGGAAUUACUGGGCGUAAAGCGUGCGCAGGCGGUUUCGUAAGACAGAUGUGAAAUCCCCGGGCUUAACCUGGGAACUGCAUUUGUGACUGCGAGACUAGAGUGCGGCAGAGGGGGGUAGAAUUCCACGUGUAGCAGUGAAAUGCGUAGAUAUGUGGAGGAAUACCGAUGGCGAAGGCAGCCCCCUGGGUCGACACUGACGCUCAUGCACGAAAGCGUGGGGAGCAAACAGGAUUAGAUACCCCUGGUAGUCCACGCCCUAAACGAUGUCAACUAGGUGUUGGGGGAGGAGACUUCCUUAGUACCG